GAGUAUCAAUUGGAGGGCAAGUCUGGUGCCAGCAGCCGCGGUAAUUCCAGCUCCAAUAGCGUAUAUUAAACUUGUUGCAGUUAAAAAGCUCGUAGUUGAAUUUCUGCUGUAUCGUUUUYCUYUGCUUGACAGWUGGAUUUYGUUAUGGSUUARUUGGGUUMCWGUUUYYGUUACCUGACGUUUACUUUGAGAAAAUUAGAGUGCUUCAAGCAGGCUUUUGCCUUGAAUACUUUAGCAUGGAAUAAUGGAGUAGGACUUUGGUUCUAUUUUGUUGGUUUUAGGAGCCAGAGUAAUGGUUAAUAGGAACAGUUGGGGGCAUUCGUAUUUGACUGUCAGAGGUGAAAUUCUU
RNAcentral lists this ribosomal RNA (349 nucleotides) under Theileria equi. RNAcentral describes it as "partial 18S ribosomal RNA". It matches the Rfam family "Eukaryotic small subunit ribosomal RNA", at positions 541 to 932 of the family's 1831-position model. The record is from RNAcentral. Lineage: Eukaryota; Apicomplexa; Aconoidasida; Piroplasmida; Theileriidae.